CCUACGGGAGGCAGCAGUGAGGAAUAUUGGUCAAUGGUCGGAAGACUGAACCAGCCAAGCCGCGUGAGGGAUGACGGCACUCAGCAUUGUAAACCGCUUUUGUACGGGAACAAAUACCGGUACGUGUCUCCGGAUGAGUGUACCUUAAGAAUAAGCAUCGGCUAACUCCGUGCCAGCAGCCGCGGUAAUACGGAGGAUCCGAGCGUUAUCCGGAUUUAUUGGGUUUAAAGGGUGCGUAGGCGGUCUUGUAAGUUAGGGGUGAAAGGUCGGGGCUCAACCCCGACACUGCCUUUGAUACUGGGCGUCUAGAGUUGAAGUGCGGUAGGCGGAAUGCGCGGUGUAGCGGUGAAAUGCAUAGAUAUCACGCAGAACACCGAUUGCGAAGGCAGCAUGCCGGACUCAAACUGACGUUGAGGCACGAAAGCGUGGGUAUCGAACAGGAUUAGAUACCCUUGUAGUC
This 460-nucleotide ribosomal RNA is filed under the name uncultured bacterium. RNAcentral's name for it is "partial 16S ribosomal RNA". It matches the Rfam family "Bacterial small subunit ribosomal RNA", at positions 338 to 795 of the family's 1533-position model. The record is from RNAcentral.